Molecule: ribosomal RNA, 1345 nt
Filed under: uncultured bacterium
Lineage: Bacteria
Description: bacterial SSU rRNA
Rfam family: Bacterial small subunit ribosomal RNA
Source: RNAcentral
GGAUGAACGCUGGCGGCGUGCUUAACACAUGCAAGUCGAACGAUGAAAGCGGGAGCUUGCUCCUGCUGGAUUAGUGGCGAACGGGUGAGUAACACGUGAGUAACCUGCCCUUGACUCUGGGAUAAGCGUUGGAAACGACGUCUAAUACCGGAUACGACCUUCGGAGGCAUCUCCUGGGGGUGGAAAGAAUUUCGGUCAAGGAUGGACUCGCGGCCUAUCAGCUAGUUGGUGAGGUAAUGGCUCACCAAGGCGACGACGGGUAGCCGGCCUGAGAGGGUGACCGGCCACACUGGGACUGAGACACGGCCCAGACUCCUACGGGAGGCAGCAGUGGGGAAUAUUGCACAAUGGGCGAAAGCCUGAUGCAGCAACGCCGCGUGAGGGACGACGGCCUUCGGGUUGUAAACCUCUUUUAGUAGGGAAGAAGCGAAGGUGACGGUACCUGCAGAAAAAGCACCGGCUACCUACGUGCCAGCAGCCGCGGUAAUACGUAGGGUGCAAGCGUUAUCCGGAAUUAUUGGGCGUAAAGAGCUCGUAGGCGGUUUGUCACGUCUGCUGUGAAAACUGGAGGCUCAACCUCCAGCCUGCAGUGGGUACGGGCAGACUAGAGUGCGGUAGGGGAGAUUGGAAUUCCUGGUGUAGCGGUGGAAUGCGCAGAUAUCAGGAGGAACACCGAUGGCGAAGGCAGAUCUCUGGGCCGUAACUGACGCUGAGGAGCGAAAGCAUGGGGAGCGAACAGGAUUAGAUACCCUGGUAGUCCAUGCCGUAAACGUUGGGAACUAGAUGUAGGGACCAUUCCACGGUUUCUGUGUCGCAGCUAACGCAUUAAGUUCCCCGCCUGGGGAGUACGGCCGCAAGGCUAAAACUCAAAGGAAUUGACGGGGGCCCGCACAAGCGGCGGAGCAUGCGGAUUAAUUCGAUGCAACGCGAAGAACCUUACCAAGGCUUGACAUAUACCGGAAAAGUUCAGAAAUGUUCUCCCCGCAAGGUCGGUAUACAGGUGGUGCAUGGUUGUCGUCAGCUCGUGUCGUGAGAUGUUGGGUUAAGUCCCGCAACGAGCGCAACCCUCGUUCUAUGUUGCCAGNNNNUAAUGGUGGGAACUCAUAGGAGACUGCCGGGGUCAACUCGGAGGAAGGUGGGGAUGACGUCAAAUCAUCAUGCCCCUUAUGUCUUGGGCUUCACGCAUGCUACAAUGGCCGAUACAAAGGGCUGCAAUACCGUAAGGUGGAGCGAAUCCCAAAAAGUCGGUCUCAGUUCGGAUUGAGGUCUGCAACUCGACCUCAUGAAGUCGGAGUCGCUAGUAAUCGCAGAUCAGCAACGCUGCGGUGAAUACGUUCCCGGGCCU